UACGUAGGCAGCAAGCGUUGUUCGGAAUUACUGGGCGUAAAGAGUGUGUAGGCGGUGCUCUAAGUUUGGUGUGAAAUCUCCCGGCUCAACUGGGAGGGUGCGCCGAAAACUGGAAUGCUUGAACAUGGGAGAGGAAAGCGGAAUUCCUGGUGUAGCGGUGAAAUGCGUAGAUAUCAGGAGGAACACCUGCGGUGUAGACGGCUUUCUGGACCAUUGUUGACGCUGAGGCGCGAAAGCUAGGGGAGCAAACAGG
Molecule: ribosomal RNA, 253 nt
Filed under: uncultured bacterium
Lineage: Bacteria
Description: partial 16S ribosomal RNA
Rfam family: Bacterial small subunit ribosomal RNA
Source: RNAcentral